Molecule: ribosomal RNA, 411 nt
Filed under: uncultured bacterium
Lineage: Bacteria
Description: bacterial SSU rRNA
Rfam family: Bacterial small subunit ribosomal RNA
Source: RNAcentral
GCCUAACACAUGCAAGUCGAGCGGCAGCACAAGUAAGUUACUUAUGAGGUGGCGAGCGGCGGACGGGUGAGUAAUGCCUAGGGAUCUGCCCAGUCGAGGGGGAUAACAGUUGGAAACGACUGCUAAUACCGCAUACGCCCUACGGGGGAAAGGAGGGGACCUUUUGGCCUUCCGCAAAUGGAUAAGCCCAGGUGGGAUUAGCCAGUAGGUGAGGUAAUGGCUCACCUAGGCGACGAUCCCUAGCUGUUCUGAGAGGAUGAUCAGCCACACUGGGACUGAGACACGGCCCAGACUCCUACGGGAGGCAGCGGUAGGGAAUAUUGCACAAUGGGCGCAAGCCUGAUGCAGCCAUGCCGCGUGUAGUGAAGAAGGCCUACGGGUANGUAAAGCACUUNCAGCGAGGAGGAAAGG